ACACGUAGGGGGCGAGCGUUGUUCGGAAUCAUUGGGCGUAAAGGGCGCGCAGGCGGCCAUGUAAGUCUGGUGUAAAAUGGUUGUGCUCAACACAAUCAUGCGCUGGAAACUGUAUGGCUAGAGUCAACGAGGGGAUGCCGGAAUUCCAGGUGUAGGGGUGAAAUCUGUAGAUAUCUGGAAGAACACCGAUGGCGAAGGCAGGCAUCUGGCGACUGACUGACGCUGAGGCGCGAAGGUGCGGGGAGCAAACAGGUUUAGAUACCCUGGUAGUCCGCACAGUAAACGAUGUGCACCAGGUGGCGGGCAGCAGUGCUCGGUACCGAAGCAAACGCAUUAAGUGCACCGCCUGGGGAGUAUGCCCGCAAGGGUGAAACUCAAAUGAAUUGACGGGG
RNAcentral lists this ribosomal RNA (392 nucleotides) under uncultured bacterium. RNAcentral's name for it is "partial 16S ribosomal RNA". It matches the Rfam family "Bacterial small subunit ribosomal RNA", at positions 523 to 918 of the family's 1533-position model. The record is from RNAcentral.